This is a non-coding RNA of Pelobates cultripes (western spadefoot toad), 260 nucleotides long. Lineage: Eukaryota; Metazoa; Chordata; Amphibia; Anura; Pelobatidae. The record is from the annotation of a GenBank genome assembly.
CCCCCAUACCCUGUCUAUACCCUCUGUGCUUCAUCUACCCCCAUACCCUGUCUAUACCCUCUGUACUCCAUCUACCCCAUACCCUGUCUAUACCCUCUGUGCUUCAUCUCCCCCAUACCCUGUCUAUACCCUCUGUGCUUCAUCUUCCCCCAUACCCUGUCUAUACCCUCUGUGCUUCAUCUACCCCCAUACUCUGUCUAUACCCUCUGUGCUUCAUCUCCCCCCAUACCCUGUCUAUAUCCUCUGUGCUUCAUCUCCCC